CCGGGCAUUUCAUCGUUAGUGACAACAAUACAAUACUUGUCUUCGUCCUUAUUGUCACUGGAUUAGAGCACUGCAAGAUUGAACCCACCACUAUGCACCACUCCAUCUGACGAUCUAUCAAUCAAUCUUGUCCAGAGAAGACAAAUAGAUCGGAAAGCAUGCAUAUCUAUUUAAUUAUGGAGCAAAAAACUUUAAGAGAUUCAAUACAAAUCAAUGAACAAUCUGUUCAUGAAUCAACAAUUCAUCGAAUCACAACAAACACAUCACAAGGAUUAAGUCGGAUUGAUCUCAGAGAAGAUCAUUGUAUAGAGAGCUACUACUAUGAACCUGUAGGUCCUAAUAGAACUACUCACACACCAUCAUGAAGGCACUAAGGUUGGUGAAGAUAGCCACCCAAUGAUUUCCUCCUUCGGCAGAACUCUGGAACCGGGCUCCAUAUGGGAUCACUUCGAAACAGAGUCUUGUGGUGGCAAAUAAACUAUUUCAGGUCUCGCUCUAAGGGUUUCAGGAU
This 511-nucleotide ribosomal RNA is filed under the name Triticum aestivum (bread wheat). RNAcentral describes it as "partial small subunit ribosomal RNA". Lineage: Eukaryota; Viridiplantae; Streptophyta; Magnoliopsida; Poales; Poaceae. The record is from RNAcentral.